RNAcentral lists this ribosomal RNA (460 nucleotides) under uncultured bacterium. Its description in RNAcentral is "partial 16S ribosomal RNA". It matches the Rfam family "Bacterial small subunit ribosomal RNA", at positions 338 to 795 of the family's 1533-position model. The record is from RNAcentral.
CCUACGGGGGGCAGCAGUGAGGAAUAUUGGUCAAUGGACGAGAGUCUGAACCAGCCAAGUAGCGUGAAGGAUGACUGCCCUAUGGGUUGUAAACUUCUUUUAUAUGGGAAUAAAACGUUCCACGUGUGGGAUUUUGUAUGUACCAUAUGAAUAAGGAUCGGCUAACUCCGUGCCAGCAGCCGCGGUAAUACGGAGGAUCCGAGCGUUAUCCGGAUUUAUUGGGUUUAAAGGGAGCGUAGGUGGAUUGUUAAGUCAGUUGUGAAAGUUUGCGGCGCAACCGUAAAAUUGCAGUGGAAACUGGCAGUCUUGAGUACAGUAGAGGUGGGCGGAAUUCGUGGUGUAGCGGUGAAAUGCUUAGAUAUCACGAAGAACUCCGAUUGCGAAGGCAGUUCACUGGACUGCAACUGACACUGAGGCUCGAAAGUGUGGGUAUCAAACAGGAUUAGAUACCCCUGUAGUC